UACGUAGGGUGCGAGCGUUAAUCGGAAUUACUGGGCGUAAAGCGUGUGUAGGCGGUUUGCUAAGUCGGGUGUGAAAGCCCCGGGCUCAACCCGGGAAGUGCACUCAAAACUGGCAGGCUAGAGUACUGGAGAGGUUGGUGGAAUUCUCGGUGUAGAGGUGAAAUUCGUAGAUAUCGAGAGGAACACCGGUGGCGAAGGCGGCCAACUGGACAGAUACUGACGCUGAGACACGAAAGCGUGGGGAGCAAACAGG
RNAcentral lists this ribosomal RNA (253 nucleotides) under uncultured bacterium. RNAcentral's name for it is "partial 16S ribosomal RNA". It matches the Rfam family "Bacterial small subunit ribosomal RNA", at positions 524 to 776 of the family's 1533-position model. The record is from RNAcentral.